UACGAAGGGGGCUAGCGUUGCUCGGAAUCACUGGGCGUAAAGCGCACGUAGGCGGAUUGCUAAGUCAGGGGUGAAAGCCCGGGGCUCAACCCCGGAAUUGCCUUUAAGACUGCAUCGCUUGAAUCCGGGAGAGGUGAGUGGAAUUCCGAGUGUAGAGGUGAAAUUCGUAGAUAUUCGGAAGAACACCAGUGGCGAAGGCGGCUCACUGGACCGGUAUUGACGCUGAGGUGCGAAAGCGUGGGGAGCAAACAGG
RNAcentral lists this ribosomal RNA (253 nucleotides) under uncultured bacterium. RNAcentral describes it as "partial 16S ribosomal RNA". It matches the Rfam family "Bacterial small subunit ribosomal RNA", at positions 524 to 776 of the family's 1533-position model. The record is from RNAcentral.